This 103-nucleotide small nuclear RNA is filed under the name Rhinolophus ferrumequinum (greater horseshoe bat). The record is from RNAcentral. Lineage: Eukaryota; Metazoa; Chordata; Mammalia; Chiroptera; Rhinolophidae.
GCUCGCUUCGGCAGCACAUACUAAAAUUGGAACAAUACAGAGAAGAUUAACAUGGCCCCUGCGCAAGGAUGACACGCAAAUUCGUGAAGAGUUCCAGUAAAAA